UACAGAGGUCCCAAGCGUUGUUCGGAUUCACUGGGCGUAAAGGGUGCGUAGGCGGUCGGGUAAGUCUAACGUGAAAUCUUCAAGCUCAACUUGGAAACUGCGUCGGAUACUAUUCGGCUAGAGGAAUGGAGGGGAGACUGGAAUACUUGGUGUAGCAGUGAAAUGCGUAGAUAUCAAGUGGAACACCAGUGGCGAAGGCGAGUCUCUGGACAUUUCCUGACGCUGAGGCACGAAAGCCAGGGGAGCAAACGGG
This 253-nucleotide ribosomal RNA is filed under the name uncultured bacterium. Its description in RNAcentral is "partial 16S ribosomal RNA". It matches the Rfam family "Bacterial small subunit ribosomal RNA", at positions 524 to 776 of the family's 1533-position model. The record is from RNAcentral.